Molecule: microRNA precursor, 59 nt
Filed under: Tribolium castaneum (red flour beetle)
Lineage: Eukaryota; Metazoa; Arthropoda; Insecta; Coleoptera; Tenebrionidae
Description: Tca-Mir-96-P2_pre stem-loop
Source: RNAcentral
CUUGGCACUGGAAGAAUUCACAGAUUGUAUUUGAAUCGUGAUUCUUUUAAUGCCAUAUU